GCCCCGGUAGCUCAGCAGGAUAGAGCAGCCGCCUCCUAAGCGGCCGCAGCGCCGCUGUCUGGGGUGGUUUUUGACCAAGCGUCGAACCUGCGACAUAUAAAGAAGGGGGUUCGACGGAUUCGCGAGAGCGAAUCCGAACCGUGGAGCGUAGCGACACGGGCCCGAAGGGUGAGCGGCGAAGCCGCGAAUACUCCUUCUCGGGGCACCA
RNAcentral lists this transfer RNA (208 nucleotides) under Endozoicomonas sp. G2_2. RNAcentral describes it as "tRNA-Arg". The stretch from base 1 to 66 matches the Rfam family "tRNA". The record is from RNAcentral. Lineage: Bacteria; Pseudomonadati; Pseudomonadota; Gammaproteobacteria; Oceanospirillales; Endozoicomonadaceae.